Molecule: ribosomal RNA, 252 nt
Filed under: uncultured microorganism
Description: partial 16S ribosomal RNA
Rfam family: Bacterial small subunit ribosomal RNA
Source: RNAcentral
UACGUAGGUCCCGAGCGUUGUCCGGAUUUAUUGGGCGUAAAGCGAGCGCAGGCGGUUUGAUAAGUCUGAUGUAAAAGGCAGUGGCUCAACCAUUGUGUGCAUUGGAAACUGUUAGACUUGAGUGCAGUAGAGGAGAGUGGAAUUCCAUGUGUAGCGGUGAAAUGCGUAGAUAUUGGAAGGAAUACCGGUGGCGAAGGCGGCCACCUGGUCAGAAACUGACACUGAGGCUCGAAAGCGUGGGUAGCAAACAGG